Molecule: non-coding RNA, 72 nt
Organism: Omnitrophica WOR_2 bacterium GWA2_47_8
Lineage: Bacteria; Pseudomonadati; Candidatus Omnitrophota
Source: Rfam
GCGGCGGUAAUUCAGUGGUAGAAUGCUUCCUUGCCAAGGAAGAUGACAUGGGUUCAAGCCCCAUCCGCCGCU